This 1676-nucleotide long non-coding RNA is filed under the name Homo sapiens (human). RNAcentral's name for it is "HSALNT0355802". The record is from RNAcentral. Lineage: Eukaryota; Metazoa; Chordata; Mammalia; Primates; Hominidae.
UAUAUGCCCAGGAUGGGGCUGAAUAAAAAGCUAAUAAUAAUAGCCACCACCUGUGGAGAGCUUCUCUUGGACCACGCAUUCUGCUAAGUCCUUCUCUUGUAUGAGGACCAGUUGUGCCCAGAGAACCUUCUCUGUCUCCUCUAACCAUGGGAUAAAAGGAGAUUUCCACAAGAGCGGCUCAGGGACGCAGCCCAUCUCUUAAGAAGGAGGCUCUGAGAGGGACAAGACCAUGGAUGCAGCACAUGGCCACAAGGCAGUUUCAAGAUGCCCAUGUCAGGCAGAGGAUGGCUCAGUGGUCUCUAACCCACCUAACAUUUCAUGAACUUUACUCCUGGUCCCGCUCCCAAAUUAGACACUGGAGAUAAUGGAUCACUAUACUGCACUGAAGACUCGGAGGGGUUGAGCCGCUGGAGCCACGCAAAUUCAGACACCUCUUCCGCCCCAGGUCACUCUACUCGCCCACGCUGCCUGCCACACCCAUCCGGUUGUGCGGGACACUCCCCGCGUUUCUUCAGCGAUUCUUAUCGGGCUCCCUCCUUGUUCAAUAAAGGUGAAGGGUGUGGGGUUUUCUGUGCAUACGCUCAGGAAGUUGAGUCCCGGUGAAACGUGUCAGGUUGCCAUUUCCCAGGCUGGAAAGAUUUUCCCAGGACGGGUAUGAAUAGACGAUGAAAGUGCACACUCUUACCCGGCUGCCCGACCCAGGUGCCAGGCUUCUGACUCAGGACCAUCUGUGGGUGCGAGUGCAGGGAGGUGUCAUUUCUGAGCAGGGAAGGUGUGAUCUGGGGCCAGAAUGAAUGGCCCUGGUGACUUCUUACCUGAUUCAUCCCACACCAGUCAGAAGGGGCUGUGAAGGCAGCAGCGAAGGAGCCACACAUGGACGUGGAAUGGGCACGCUGACCAUCAUGGUCACGACUGCAAGAAAGCAGGGCUGCGUGGGUUAAUUGGCUGUGUCUGAGGGUCACCCCUGCACAAGGAGGAUGAUGACGACUGCCCUGUGCAACCCUGGGUCAUCUCAGGGGAGAGCCAUUCCCAGGUUCACAGCAAGCACUCUUUUACUCAGAUGGGCCACCUGCAUCAGGCCCCAAGGAAGCACUUAUUAGUAGAAGAAAAAAAACAAAAACCCAGAAAACAGCCAGUGAGACUAUUUUACAAACAAGCGAAGAGCAGCAACUGAAAGCAACAAUAACUACAACAUAAAUCCCUCUGCAAAUAUUUGGGAUUUCAUUUCCACUAAGGAUAAUGAUGGCGUAGAAGGCAUGUCUGUGGGAGUUAUGCACACAGGGAAAAAGGUGGUGAAAAUAAUCAACCAAAAAUAACAAAAUUCAAUUAAUCAAAACAGAACAAAAUAAAAUGAGCCAAACAGCAUAUCUGAAUAUAAGCAUAAUAAUUGUCGUUGGACAAACCUUUGUCAAAUCAAAUUGGCUUCUAGCACACGGGCUGAUACUUUGUGAUUCAAGUGGUGUUCUACCCACAUAAUUCAUUUAGUUGCAAAGAAUGUAACAAAUAAUGCAAUUAUUCCAGAGGAUCACGGUGAGACAUCUAUUUGGUGGUGCCUUAAGCAGAGUGCCCUGAUUCAGAAGAAUUAGACCAAUCUCUGGAUUCACAGCCACUCAUGAAAACUGUAGGCCGGGCACGGUGGCUCAUGCCUGUAAUCCCAGCACUUUGGGAGGCCAAGG